ACUUGUCUCUGAAUUUUGAUGAAGCCCAUUUGAAAUAACCACAGUUUGCUUCUGGAUUAGAGGAAGGUCCCUGCAAGAGUUGUAGAUAUACUUAGCAUGUAGUUACAACGGUUAAAAAGACUUGGUUAAAAUCUUUUUACCUCAGCUCGAGAGCAGACGUAGAAUCUGCGUCCGAAUGUGGGACCUGGUUUCUUGACGACCCUAGCAACACAAGCUUCUUUAUGUCCUUUGCAGAGAGCUGAAGAACCUGUUUGAUCCUGUUCCUGUGUUGAAGUAGUCGGUUCACUGUCUUCUUUGCCUGAAACAUUCGGUUCUGUGAUGCUUUCUACUUGGGAGCUGGGACUGGAGGAAACAUAGGAAGAAGAACUAUCCUCGACAUUGUUUACUUUUGAGUUUGUAGUGAAAAAGGACUUGAGAGAAAGCUGAGAUGAUUGGAUUUUCCUUGCUUUUUUCCUGUCUCCAUCUCUAGAGAUAUUCAAAGCUCUAACUGAUGAUGCACGUAUUCCAUCACUAAGGUUAUCAAUGGAACCUGUUGCUGCCACCGUUUCUGCUUCUGUAACGCCGGAAGUGGAUUUGUUCUCAAAAGAACAAGAUUUCUCAAGUGAAAUUCCCAUCGAACCACAAUUUCUCAGUGGUCCUGUAGAAAUAUCCCCACAAAUUGAUGAAGUAUUACUUUGAGUUGAUGAUGAACAUGACACCUCAAUGGCUUUGGCUUCUUCAUUGGCCCGCCUCUUCUAAAAAAACAAGUGAAGCAAAUUAUAAAAAAACGAUAGAGACAGGAAUAACUUGAGAAUAUGAACCAAUACAAGACAGCGGAAUAUAUAGGAAUUUUCUUGUACCAAGAGUUUGUUGGAAACCGUAAAUCAUGGGAAGAUAUCUUGACGCUAAUGGCGGCGUGCUGUGUUCCGGGAUGUCUGGUAAAUCAUCAAAACUAAUGAAUACAGGUACGUGGUCUGAUCCCUUAAAUUUUGUAACCAAUCCACCUUUCCACCUGUAGUGUGUUCAGAAGUUGAUUCACUGUAAAUUUGAGAUCCAAGUAAAAUGAAAAAAGGAAAUCUCAAG
Molecule: long non-coding RNA, 1062 nt
Filed under: Arabidopsis thaliana (thale cress)
Lineage: Eukaryota; Viridiplantae; Streptophyta; Magnoliopsida; Brassicales; Brassicaceae
Description: potential natural antisense gene, locus overlaps with AT4G36050 (AT4G36052)
Source: RNAcentral